GAGGGUGCAGCUCAGUGGUAGAGCACAUGCAUAGUGGGCACGAGAUCCUGGGUUCAAUCCCCAGUGCCUCCA
This 72-nucleotide transfer RNA is filed under the name Camelus bactrianus (Bactrian camel). It matches the Rfam family "tRNA". Rfam says of the family: Transfer RNA (tRNA) molecules are approximately 80 nucleotides in length. Their secondary structure includes four short double-helical elements and three loops (D, anti-codon, and T loops). Further hydrogen bonds mediate the characteristic L-shaped molecular structure. tRNAs have two regions of fundamental functional importance: the anti-codon, which is responsible for specific mRNA codon recognition, and the 3' end, to which the tRNAs corresponding amino acid is attached (by aminoacyl-tRNA synthetases). tRNAs cope with the degeneracy of the genetic code in two manners: having more than one tRNA (with a specific anti-codon) for a particular amino acid; and 'wobble' base-pairing, i.e. permitting non-standard base-pairing at the 3rd anti-codon position. RNAcentral also lists the same sequence under 1 other name. The record is from Rfam by way of RNAcentral. Lineage: Eukaryota; Metazoa; Chordata; Mammalia; Artiodactyla; Camelidae.